Molecule: ribosomal RNA, 330 nt
Filed under: uncultured eukaryote
Lineage: Eukaryota
Description: partial 18S ribosomal RNA
Rfam family: Eukaryotic small subunit ribosomal RNA
Source: RNAcentral
CCCUUAGAUGUUCGGGGCCGCACGCGCGCUACACUGAAGGAAUCAGCACGUCUUUCUCCUUGUCCGAAAGGACUGGGUAACCCGCUGAACCUCCUUCGUGCUAGGGAUUGGGGCUUGUAAUUCUUCCCCAUGAACGAGGAAUUCCCAGUAAGCGCGAGUCAUAAGCUCGCGUUGAUUACGUCCCUGCCCUUUGUACACACCGCCCGUCGUUACUACCGAUUGGAUGGUUUAGUGAGAUCCUCGGAUUGGUCCCGGAGCGGCCUCUGGUCGUGCCGGAGUGCCGAAAAGAAUGUCGAACUUGAUCAUCUAGAGGAAGUAAAAGUCGUAACA